UCCUACGGGAGGCAGCAGUGGGGAAUUUUCCGCAAUGGGGGCAACCCUGACGGAGCAACGCCGCGUGGGGGACGACGGCCUUAGGGUUGUAAACCUCUUUUCUCUGGGAAGAAGAACUGACGGUACCAGAGGAAUCAGCCUCGGCUAACUCUGUGCCAGCAGCCGCGGUAAUAAUCUC
This 178-nucleotide ribosomal RNA is filed under the name uncultured bacterium. RNAcentral's name for it is "partial 16S ribosomal RNA". It matches the Rfam family "Bacterial small subunit ribosomal RNA", at positions 337 to 526 of the family's 1533-position model. The record is from RNAcentral.